Molecule: ribosomal RNA, 469 nt
Filed under: Neda sp. AFOU00239 (Nsp1)
Lineage: Eukaryota; Metazoa; Arthropoda; Insecta; Coleoptera; Coccinellidae
Description: partial large subunit ribosomal RNA
Source: RNAcentral
UUUUUGAAUAUAAUUUAAAGUAGGGCCUGCCCCUGAGUAAUUGAAGGGCCGCAGUAUUUUGACUGUGCAAAGGUAGCAUAAUCAUUAGUUUUUUAAUUGAAAGCUUGUAUGAAUGGUUUGAUGAGAAAAUUUCUUUCUAUAUUUAAUUUUUUAAAAAAUUUAUUUUUAAGUUAAAAAGCUUAAAUAUUUUUGAUAGACGAGAAGACCCUAUAGAGUUUUAUUAUAAUUUUUUUUUUUUUAAUUUAGAAUUUUAAUAUUUAAAUUUUUUUAUAAUUUAAUUGGGGUGAUUGAAAAAUUAAUUUAACUUUUUCUUUUUUUCUACAUAUUUACAUGAUUUUUUGGUCCAAUUUUUUUUGAUUAAAAGAUUAAAUUACCUUAGGGAUAACAGCGUUAUUUUUUUUUAGAGUUCUAAUCGAAAAAAGAGAUUGCGACCUCGAUGUUGGAUUAAAGUUAAUUUUUGGUGUAGGGC